Molecule: ribosomal RNA, 369 nt
Filed under: uncultured organism
Description: bacterial SSU rRNA
Rfam family: Bacterial small subunit ribosomal RNA
Source: RNAcentral
CGUAGGGUGCGAGCGUUAAUCGGAAUUACUGGGCGUAAAGCGUGCGCAGGCGGUUAUGUAAGACAGAUGUGAAAUCCCCGGGCUCAACCUGGGACCUGCAUUUGUGACUGCAUAGCUAGAGUACGGUAGAGGGGGAUGGAAUUCCGCGUGUAGCAGUGAAAUGCGUAGAUAUGCGGAGGAACACCGAUGGCGAAGGCAAUCCCCUGGACCUGUACUGACGCUCAUGCACGAAAGCGUGGGGAGCAAACAGGAUUAGAUACCCUGGUAGUCACGCCCUAAACGAUGUCAACUGGUUGUUGGGUCUUCACUGACUCAGUAACGAAGCCAACGCGUGAAGUUGACCGCCUGGGGAGUACGGCCGCAAGGUUG